This 497-nucleotide ribosomal RNA is filed under the name uncultured bacterium. RNAcentral describes it as "partial 16S ribosomal RNA". It matches the Rfam family "Bacterial small subunit ribosomal RNA", at positions 28 to 507 of the family's 1533-position model. The record is from RNAcentral.
GAUGAACGCUGGCGGCGUGCCUAAUACAUGCAAGUCGAGCGAACAGACGAGGAGCUUGCUCCUCUGACGUUAGCGGCGGACGGGUGAGUAACACGUGGAUAACCUACCUAUAAGACUGGGAUAACUUCGGGAAACCGGAGCUAAUACCGGAUAAUAUAUUGAACCGCAUGGUUCAAUAGUGAGAGACGGUUUUGCUGUCACUUAUAGAUGGAUCCGCGCCGCAUUAGCUAGUUGGGAAGGUAAUGGCUUAGCAAGGCAACGAUGCGUAGACGACCGGAGAGAGGGAUAGCCGACAUGGGAAGGUGGCCGCGGACAUGGCGACUACGGUAGGGAGCAGAAGGGAACGGGCCGCAACGGGGGAAAGUCUGACGGAGUAACGGGAAGCGAGAUACGACGGCCCCCGGUGCGGAAUACCCGGUUAUGAGUGAAGAACCAAUGUGUAAGGAACCAUGCACGGCUUGACGGUACUUAAUCAGAAAGCAACGGCUAACUACGUG